Molecule: long non-coding RNA, 430 nt
Filed under: Fukomys damarensis (Damara mole-rat)
Lineage: Eukaryota; Metazoa; Chordata; Mammalia; Rodentia; Bathyergidae
Description: lncRNA (ENSFDAG00000025015.1)
Source: RNAcentral
GUUUGGGUACAAAAGUAAAGCACAUGCAGUUGUAUGGAGUACCUAACACUUGACUGUGAUAAUAACAAUAUGGUAGCAUUUAUGUUUUCACUAUACUGUUAUGGUUAUUUUCCAGUAUACUCCUUCUACUUAUAUAUUUUUAAAAGUUAACUGUAAAACAGCUCCAGGCAGAUCCUUCAGGAGCACUGCAGAAGGCAGCCUUGUCAUCAUAAGAGGUGACAGCUCCAUGCACAUGACUGCCCUCAAUCCCUUCCAGGGGGACAGGAUGCGGAGGAAGACAGUGAGGUUACUUUUGCGGCAGGGAUGAUGAACAAGAUUGAAAGUGCAAGAAAAACAAGAAACCAGAAACACAGACUCUUACAUCUUGCUCUCACAAAAGUGGUCCUGACACUGGAAGGAUGGGAGAGGCCCCAGGGUUUGUGACUCAGAC